This 460-nucleotide ribosomal RNA is filed under the name uncultured bacterium. RNAcentral describes it as "partial 16S ribosomal RNA". It matches the Rfam family "Bacterial small subunit ribosomal RNA", at positions 338 to 795 of the family's 1533-position model. The record is from RNAcentral.
CCUACGGGAGGCAGCAGUGAGGAAUAUUGGUCAAUGGGCGCGAGCCUGAACCAGCCAAGUAGCGUGCAGGAUGACUGCCCUACGGGUUGUAAACUUCUUUUAUACAGGAAUAAACUGAGGCACGUGUGCCUUUUUGUAUGUACUUUAUGAAUAAGGAUCGGCUAACUCCGUGCCAUCAGCCGCGGUAAUACGGAGGAUUCGAGCGUUCUCCGGAGUUAUUGGGUUUAAAGGGAGCGUAGAUGGGUGGUUCAGUCAGUUGUGAAAGUUUGCGGCUCAACCGUGAAAUUGCAUUUGAUACUGGCAGCCUUGAGUACAGUUGAGGUAGGCGGAAUGCGUGGUGUAGCGGUGAAAUGCUUAGAUAUCACGAAGAACUCCGAUUGCGAAGGCAGCUUACUAAACUGCCACUGACAUUGAUGCUCGAAAGUGUGGGUAUCAAACAGGAUUAGAUACCCGAGUAGUC